CUUAACACAUGCAAGUCGAGGGGCAGCAUGGUCUUAGCUUGCUAAGGCCGAUGGCGACCGGCGCACGGGUGAGUAACACGUAUCCAACCUGCCGUCUACUCUUGGACAGCCUUCUGAAAGGAAGAUUAAUACAAGAUGGCAUCAUGAGUCCGCAUGUUCACAUGAUUAAAGGUAUUCCGGUAGACGAUGGGGAUGCGUUCCAUUAGAUAGUAGGCGGGGUAACGGCCCACCUAGUCUUCGAUGGAUAGGGGUUCUGAGAGGAAGGUCCCCCACAUUGGAACUGAGACACGGUCCAAACUCCUACGGGAGGCAGCAGUGAGGAAUAUUGGUCAAUGGGCGAGAGCCUGAACCAGCCAAGUAGCGUGAAGGAUGACUGCCCUAUGGGUUGUAAACUUCUUUUAUAAAGGAAUAAAGUCGGGUAUGGAUACCCGUUUGCAUGUACUUUAUGAAUAAGGAUCGGCUAACUCCGUGCCAGCAGCCGCGGUAAUACGGAGGAUCCGAGCGUUAUCCGGAUUUAUUGGGUUUAAAGGGAGCGUAGAUGGAUGUUUAAGUCAGUUGUGAAAGUUUGCGGCUCAACCGUAAAAUUGCAGUUGAUACUGGAUAUCUUGAGUGCAGUUGAGGCAGGCGGAAUUCGUGGUGUAGCGGUGAAAUGCUUAGAUAUCACGAAGAACUCCGAUUGCGAAGGCAGCCUGCUAAGCUGCAACUGACAUUGAGGCUCGAAAGUGUGGGUAUCAAACAGGAUUAGAUACCCUGGUAGUCCACACGGUAAACGAUGAAUACUCGCUGUUUGCGAUAUACUGCAAGCGGCCAAGCGAAAGCGUUAAGUAUUCCACCUGGGGAGUACGCCGGCAACGGUGAAACUCAAAGGAAUUGACGGGGGCCCGCACAAGCGGAGGAACAUGUGGUUUAAUUCGAUGAUACGCGAGGAACCUUACCCGGGCUUAAAUUGCAGAUGAAUUACGGUGAAAGCCGUAAGCCGCAAGGCAUCUGUGAAGGUGCUGCAUGGUUGUCGUCAGCUCGUGCCGUGAGGUGUCGGCUUAAGUGCCAUAACGAGCGCAACCCUUGUUGUCAGUUACUAACAGGUUCCGCUGAGGACUCUGACAAGACUGCCAUCGUAAGAUGUGAGGAAGGUGGGGAUGACGUCAAAUCAGCACGGCCCUUACGUCCGGGGCUACACACGUGUUACAAUGGGGGGUACAGAGGGCCGCUACCACGCGAGUGGAUGCCAAUCCCCAAAACCUCUCUCAGUUCGGACUGGAGUCUGCAACCCGACUCCACGAAGCUGGAUUCGCUAGUAAUCGCGCAUCAGCCACGGCGCGGUGAAUACGUUCCCGGGCCUUGUACACACCGCCCGUCAAGCCAUGGGAGCCGGGGGUACCUGAAGUGCGUAACCGCGAGGAGCGCCCUAGGGUAAAACUGGUGACUGGGGCUAAGUAG
Molecule: ribosomal RNA, 1437 nt
Filed under: uncultured organism
Description: SSU rRNA
Rfam family: Bacterial small subunit ribosomal RNA
Source: RNAcentral